Molecule: ribosomal RNA, 791 nt
Filed under: uncultured bacterium
Lineage: Bacteria
Description: bacterial SSU rRNA
Rfam family: Bacterial small subunit ribosomal RNA
Source: RNAcentral
AGAGUUUGAUCAUGGCUCAGAUUGAACGCUGGCGGCAUGCCUUACACAUGCAAGUCGAACGGCAGCACGGGGGCAACCCUGGUGGCGAGUGGCGAACGGGUGAGUAAUACAUCGGAACGUGUCCUGUAGUGGGGGAUAGCCCGGCGAAAGCCGGAUUAAUACCGCAUACGCUCUACGGAGGAAAGGGGGGGAUCUUAGGACCUCCCGCUACAGGGGCGGCCGAUGGCAGAUUAGCUAGUUGGUGGGGUAAAGGCCUACCAAGGCGACGAUCUGUAGCUGGUCUGAGAGGACGACCAGCCACACUGGGACUGAGACACGGCCCAGACUCCUACGGGAGGCAGCAGUGGGGAAUUUUGGACAAUGGGGGAAACCCUGAUCCAGCAAUGCCGCGUGUGUGAAGAAGGCCUUCGGGUUGUAAAGCACUUUUGUCCGGAAAGAAAUCCUCUUCGCUAAUACCGAGGGGGGAUGACGGUACCGGAAGAAUAAGCACCGGCUAACUACGUGCCAGCAGCCGCGGUAAUACGUAGGGUGCAAGCGUUAAUCGGAAUUACUGGGCGUAAAGCGUGCGCAGGCGGUUCGCUAAGACAGAUGUGAAAUCCCCGGGCUUAACCUGGGAACUGCAUUUGUGACUGGCGGGCUAGAGUAUGGCAGAGGGGGGUAGAAUUCCACGUAGCAGUGAAAUGCGUAGAGAUGUGGAGGAAUACCGAUGGCGAAGGCAGCCCCCUGGGCCAAUACUGACGCUCAUGCACGAAAGCGUGGGGAGCAAACAGGAUUAGAUACCCCAGUAGUCC